Molecule: long non-coding RNA, 2088 nt
Organism: Gasterosteus aculeatus aculeatus (three-spined stickleback)
Lineage: Eukaryota; Metazoa; Chordata; Actinopteri; Perciformes; Gasterosteidae
Source: Ensembl
UCUGUGUUCGCUGGUCAUGCACGGUAAAAGAAAAAAUGCCUGGUCGACGCGUAGAUUAGAAAACAAGUCAGUUCUCAAUGUGGAAAAAAAACAUGCUGUAUAGGCUAUUUUUGAUGACUGAGAGGACAGGCAAUGAUGCAGAGAGCACAGGGAGAGGAGAAACACCAGGUCCAAUAGAGAGAGAAGCACAGAGGAGCCAUGAACCCCAGAACACGCAGGACCUGACGUGGAGGACAAGGCCCUCUGGGCACUACUGUAAAAAGGAGACUCCGUAUGUAGAUAGUUCUUAAUCUGCAAUUGUGUUGUUGUGUUGUGUUGACAUACUUUUCUUUACUGUUUUCUUAAAUUUAAUGAACUACAAACUACUAACCCAUUUAUUCAUUGUCAUUGAUUGUAUAUGACUUUUACUGAUAACAUAAUGCAAUAUAGCCAGGACAGCCUUAUAGAGUCGCAACACUUUGUGUUGCGUUGCUUCGCAUCGCGUCGAGGUCUGUAUGAUCACAAAAUUCAGAGUUUACCCACCUCUAAUUUUACCACUACAGCACUGCUUGACGGCGUAGUGGGUUACUAAUGGUUAUCUUUGGGACUGUGGUCUCCGCUCUCUUCAGGUCAUUGACCAGGUCCUGCUGUGUAGUUCUGGGCUGAUCCCUCACAUUCCUGAUGAUCAUUGAUGCCCCACAAGGUGAGAUCUGGCAUGGAACCCCAGGUCGAGGGAGAUUGACCAUCAUCUUCAACAUCUUCCAUUUUCUAAUUAUUGCACCAACAGUUGUUCUUCACACCAAGCUGCUUGUCUGUUGUUCUGUAGCCCACCACAGCUCUGUGCAGGUCUACAAUUCUAUCCCUGAUGUCCUUACACAGCUCUCUGGUCUUGGCUAUUGUGGAGAGGUUGGAGUCUGUUUGAGUGUGUGGACAGGUGUCUUUUAUACAGGUAACGAGUUCAAAUAGGUGCAGUUGAUACAGGCAAUAAGUGGAGAACAGGAGGGCUUCCUAAAGACAAACUAACAGUCUGUGAGAGACGGAAUUCUUACUGGUUGGUAGGUGAUCAAAUUCUUAUGUCAUGCAAUAAACUGCAAAAUAUGAUAAAUGAUAAAAAUUACAGAUUCUUACUUUGUAAGUGGGAAAACCUACAAAAUUGGCUACUACUUCUUCCCCCCACUGUAUAUAUGAUAUAAAAUGAGGGGCGAUAUUAAAACCUUGUCUAAAACAAAACAUUCAAGCAACUAGCUCAGCACUAUUUUUUGAUAAAAUGAUAUUAGAUUUAUUUUGGCUUAUUUCUCAAGUCAAGGAUGCCUUGAACUGUUGUUGCGGAACCAUUCAUUGGUAAUGCUGAAAAGGUUUUGUGUAAUGUUCUGUUACGCAGCAGGUCCAGCACCUUGGUCGUUUUCAUUCAUUUUGUUCAUCAGGCUGAAUCUCAGAGGACUCCAUGCCAUCCUAUGUCCAUUUCCUCUCCAGCUGAUCCACAGGUGGCAAAGUACACUUUGUUCUUAUUUGUCUGGCCUGUCUGUUCAAUAUUAGCCUUCUCUCCAUCCGCAGAACAGCCCCUGAUAUUGUUAUGAAAGGGGAGCAUUGAAUCAGGGAGAGCAGAAAAGCAUUUGGCUGGCAUUUCCCACCUCGGCUGAAUCCAGUUCCUGGUGCCUGGGCCAGACUGUUUCGUUUCUGUUUGAGCAUUGAUGAUGACACUGUUCCAGGUCUCCACCUGUGUCCUCCCUCUCUGAUCAGUGCAGUGGCCCUGCUGGGAAGGGAUAACAAACAGCAGGGCGCUCUCAUCUCUCCCCAGUCUUUCUGCGCUGAUAAGCAUGGAUAGAUCAUCAGGAUUGUUAGGUGUUAGAAUCUCAAUCUUUUCUGCUUGAACUAAGAUCGAUGGACAUAUGUCUCUUUGACUCUGGUAUCUCUGUUUGGUCAUGCAUAGUCAAACCUGUAUUUUUGCAUGAAAAAAGCUAGUUUAUAAAUACCCUACUUUGUAAUAAUUCAUAUUUAUAAAUGAAGAAAGUCAUGAUUUCGUCAUGAUGAAUUAUUGGCAUAGUCAGAAAAAAGGGACAAUUAAACCUUUUUGUAAAAGUAUUAUCUUUCUUCAAAACAUAAUUAAAG